AGAUGCCAUGGGCAGCCUCACAGCCACAGUGCUGGAGCGUGGCUUUGGCACAGUACAGGUGAUAAAGGCAACUGUGGUGACUGAAGGGAGAUCAGCGCGGAUGCGGCUGCCAUUGAGGAUGGCUCUUGAGGAGCGAUGGUGAUGCCCAGCAUUUGAACAAUGCUGAGCAGUGUUCUGAGUGGGCCCAAGGGAGCUGGAGGAAGAAAGGGGCAUGCCCCAAGAAGGCGUGGAGCCUUGCGGGGAGCAGGUCGCUCACAUCCAGGAGGAGCAGGGUGAGGUGAGCAUCAG
Long non-coding RNA from Dromaius novaehollandiae (emu), 288 nucleotides. RefSeq lists it as uncharacterized. The record is from RefSeq and is a predicted model, not a curated record. NCBI's taxonomy places the organism in Eukaryota, Metazoa, Chordata, Aves, Casuariiformes, Dromaiidae. The transcript has 4 exons.